Molecule: ribosomal RNA, 2610 nt
Filed under: Euglena stellata
Lineage: Eukaryota; Euglenozoa; Euglenophyceae; Euglenales; Euglenaceae
Description: SSU rRNA
Rfam family: Eukaryotic small subunit ribosomal RNA
Source: RNAcentral
UAACCUGGUUGAUCCUGCCAGUAGUCAUAUGCUUCAUUCAAGGGCUAAGCCAUGCAUGUCUCAGUGCACUCGGUCUUGAACAGAAGGUCUGUGAAUGGCUCCUUACUCCAGCAGUCAUCUCUGUGAUAAAGUGUGGUUGGCACCACAAGCCUGGCCCAUCGGUGCCCAGUUGGACAUCCUCUGAAAACCUUGAGGCUAAUACACGGAAGCAACAGUCGGCCACACCCAAAGGGACCCUGGGUGGGUCUCCCCUUCACCGGGGUGAUUGCCCUGUGGUCCCUGUGGUGGAUGAGACCCAGCCGGUGUGAAGACCAGCGCCCUCACCGGGCAGUGUGCUCAGGACCAUGCAUCCCCUCUGGGGACCAUGUGUCAUGUUGUGGAAUCAGGCUGGAUCCUGGAUGCCCAGACAGGAUCAAUCUGCUGGCAGAGUGUUUGUUGAAGCUGAGGGUGGUCCCUGUGGCCCCCUCUGUGAGGCAUUGCAUGAUCACAAGAACUUCUGACCUAUCAGCUGUGACUGUGGGGUAGUGGCCCACAGUGGCUGUAACGGGUAACAGAGAAUCAGGGUUUGAUUCUGGAGAGGGAGCCUGAGAGAUGGCUACCACUGCCAAGGCGGGCAGCAGGCGCGUAACUUGCCCAAUGCCAACUCAACUUUGGUGAGGCAGCGACGAAUUGCAACAAUCCUGCCGACACUCUUGUCUGUGGGACUUGUGAUGGAUGCAAUCCAAAAACCGUGAUGAGUAUCAACUGGAGGGCAAGUCUGGUGCCAGCAGCUGCGGUAAUUCCAGCUCCAAGGGCGUAUACUAUCAUUGCUGCUGUUAAAACACCUGUAGUCUGCCACUGGGUUGCAGGUCCAUCAAGGGCCAAAGCAUGGUGGGCCUCCUGGCCCUGUCGGGGGUCCUCCCCCACAGGCUGGGCAGGCUGCCUGUUCUUGGAUCCCAACCCUUGGUGGUCAGUCCCUGCACCCACUGUUUGUUGUUUCUACAACCUGCCGGUGUGACCUCUCAGCUCCUGCUGAAAGUCUUCUUCACUGAAGGCCCAGGCGGUUCUGCCCUGCAUGCAGGCUAUUGGAGCGGCUUGUCGGUCCACAUGGGCUCCCAGGCCCUGCCCUCCUGUUGUGUCUCAAGACACAGUGGGUCUCUGGGCAGUGGUGUCUGCUGGAAGCCCCCCGGUGGUCCUGAGGUCCCCAGCCCUCAAAAGCUGUUGGGACCCAAGUCCUCCAGCCACCGGAGCCCGCCGGCUGUGAGAUCCUGGAAAACUCAGUGUGCUCAAGGCAAUCCGUUCUAUCAUCUGACUGGCUGAAUGACCAUCCAUGCAAUCUCAGAGGAACGACCUGUGACUGUGGCUAAAUCGUGUUGUGCUGGCCUUGGUUCCCAUCCAGGGCAAUGUGGUGCAUGGCUUCCUUGCCUCCCAGAGGGGUGUCUCUCCCUGGGAAAACUGUGGUGGGUUUCUUCCCAUUCCAAAGGUGCGAUCCCCAUGAGCAGCAGGCCCCUUCAAGGGGUGACUAUGCAUGUGUCAACCGAAUCUGAUGGGACACCCCCCGGGGUGAAGGAUAUUGAUGUGCUAGAGGUGAAAUUCUCAGACCACAUCCAGAUCAACUGCAGCAAAGGCGCUUUGCAAGACUGUGUCCGUCAAUCAAGGAUGAGAGUUCGGGGAGCAAAGAGGAUCAGACACCCUCGUAGUCCGGGACCGUAAACUGUGCCAGCCAGGUCCCAGUGGUGGGCACUGUGUUCACAAGACCCCACUGGGUGCCAAGCCCCCUUCAAAGAGAAAUCCACAGCCUGUGGGUUCAGGGGGGAGUACUGUUGCAAGGCUGAAACUUAAAGGAAUUGACGGAGUGGCACCACAAGGCGUGGGUUAUGCGGCUUAAUUUGACUCAACGCGGGGAAAUCUUACCAGGUCAGGACGCAGUCUGGAUGGACAGAUUGAGAGCUCUUUCUUGAUCCUGUGGAAGGUGGUGCAUGGCCGCUCCUGAUUGGUGGAGUGAUUUGUCUGGUUGAUUCCGAUAACGAGUGAGACAUCUGCCUCCCAGUAGCCUGAGUCUCGCAAAUUGUAGGGGAGUGGCCAGGGUCCUUGUCGGGGUCCCGACCCAUCCCGCCCCUCGGGGCUGUGGUUGGGCUGGUGUUUUGCCCCUGGCCCUGGCCCCCUGAGAGGCUCCAGUGUUCCUUAGCUUCUCUGAGGUGCUAUGCAUGCCAUCCAAAUGCAAGUAUGCUAGAGCCAACAGCAGGUCUGUGAUGCUCCCAAAUGUCCUGGGCUGCACGCGCAACACACUGAUCCAGUGAAGGAGUCUUGAGGUGCCUGCUUUUGUCAGGCCCUGGCCAAAAGUGGUCCUGGGAAACCCUGUGAAUCUGGAAGCCAUCGUGCUGGGGAUAGAUGAUUGCAACUGUCUGCCUUGAACGUGGAAUGCCUAGUAUGCGUUGGUCAUCAGCCAACACAGAUUGUGUCCCUGCCACUUGUACACACCGCCCGUCGUUGCUACCGAUGAUUCCUGGACAGAACCAUCAGGAGGUCAAUCCACCCCCCCUGUGGGGGUGCUGCCCAACAGCCAAAAUUGGGUGAUGUCCAGCAGUUAGAGAAGCAAAAGUCGUAACAGGUUGCUGUAGGUGAACCUGC